Unclassified non-coding RNA from Callithrix jacchus (white-tufted-ear marmoset), 146 nucleotides. It matches the Rfam family "Metazoan signal recognition particle RNA". From Rfam's summary of the family: The signal recognition particle (SRP) is a universally conserved ribonucleoprotein. It is involved in the co-translational targeting of proteins to membranes. NCBI's taxonomy places the organism in Eukaryota, Metazoa, Chordata, Mammalia, Primates, Cebidae. The record is from Ensembl.
GCUGGGCAUGGUGGCGCAUGCCUGUAAUCCCAGCUACUCAGGAGGCUGAGGCAGGAGAAUCACUUGAACCCAGGAGGGGGAGAUUGCAGUGAGCUGAGAUCAUGCCACUGUAUUCCCCCCUGGGUAACAGAGAGAGACUGUCUCAA